UACGGGGGGGGCAAGCGUUGUUCGGAAUUACUGGGCGUAAAGGGUUCGUAGGUGGCCUGUUAAGUCAGACGUGAAAUCCCUCAGCUCAACUGGGGAACUGCGUCUGAGACUGGUGGGCUUGAGUGCAGGAGAGGAACGCGGAAUUCCAGGUGUAGCGGCGAAAUGCGUAGAUAUCUGGAGGAACACCGGUGGCGAAGGCGGCGUUCUGGACUGCAACUGACACUGAUGAACGAAAGCCAGGGGAGCAAACGGG
RNAcentral lists this ribosomal RNA (253 nucleotides) under uncultured bacterium. RNAcentral describes it as "partial 16S ribosomal RNA". It matches the Rfam family "Bacterial small subunit ribosomal RNA", at positions 524 to 776 of the family's 1533-position model. The record is from RNAcentral.